RNAcentral lists this small nuclear RNA (19 nucleotides) under Arabidopsis thaliana (thale cress). Its description in RNAcentral is "snRNA_05026". Lineage: Eukaryota; Viridiplantae; Streptophyta; Magnoliopsida; Brassicales; Brassicaceae. The record is from RNAcentral.
GCGUUCGAAUUGUAGUCUG